This 224-nucleotide ribosomal RNA is filed under the name uncultured bacterium. RNAcentral describes it as "partial 16S ribosomal RNA". It matches the Rfam family "Bacterial small subunit ribosomal RNA", at positions 524 to 743 of the family's 1533-position model. The record is from RNAcentral.
UACGUAGGGUGCGAGCGUUAAUCGGAAUUACUGGGCGUAAAGCGUUGCGUAGGUGGUUUGUUUAAGUCUGAUGUGAAAGCCCUGGGCUCAACCUGGGAAUUUGCAUUGGAUACUGGCAGGCUAGAGUGCGGUAGAGGGUAGUGGAAUUCCCGGGUGUAGCAGUGAAAUGCGUAGAGAUCGGGAGGAACAUCUGUGGCGAAGGCGACUACCUGGACCAGCACUGA